Molecule: ribosomal RNA, 253 nt
Filed under: uncultured bacterium
Lineage: Bacteria
Description: partial 16S ribosomal RNA
Rfam family: Bacterial small subunit ribosomal RNA
Source: RNAcentral
GACGAACCGUGCGAACGUUAUUCGGAAUCACUGGGCUUAAAGGGCGCGUAGGCGGGCCUGCAAGUCAGGGGUGAAAUCCCACGGCCCAACCGUGGAAGUGCCUCUGAUACUGCCGGCCUCGAGGGAGGUAGGGGCGUGCGGAACUCAGGGUGGAGCGGUGAAAUGCGUAGAUAUCCUGAGGAACACCGGUGGCGAAAGCGGCGCGCUGGACCUCUUCUGACGCUGAGGCGCGAAAGCCAGGGGAGCAAACGGG